This 254-nucleotide ribosomal RNA is filed under the name uncultured bacterium. RNAcentral describes it as "partial 16S ribosomal RNA". It matches the Rfam family "Bacterial small subunit ribosomal RNA", at positions 524 to 776 of the family's 1533-position model. The record is from RNAcentral.
UACGUAGGGUGCAAGCGUUAAUCGGAAUUACUGGGCGUAAAGCGUGCGCAGGCGGUGAUGUAAGACAGAUGUGAAAUCCCCGGGCUCAACCUGGGAACUGCAUUUGUGACUGCAUCGCUGGAGUGCGGCAGAGGGAGGUAGAAUUCCACGUGUAGCAGUGAAAUGCGUAGAGAUGUGGAGGAAUACCGAUGGCGAAGGCAGCCUCCUGGGCCAACACUGACGCUCAUGCACGAAAGCGUGGGGGAGCAAACAGG